RNAcentral lists this unclassified non-coding RNA (324 nucleotides) under soil metagenome. RNAcentral describes it as "partial contains 5.8S ribosomal RNA, internal transcribed spacer 2, and large subunit ribosomal RNA". The stretch from base 1 to 120 matches the Rfam family "5.8S ribosomal RNA", at positions 35 to 154 of the family's 154-position model. The record is from RNAcentral.
GAUGAAGAACGCAGCGAAAUGCGAUAAGUAAUGCGAAUUGCAGAAUUCAGUGAGUCAUCGAAUCUUUGAACGCACAUUGCGCCCUGUGGUAUUCCGCAGGGCAUGCCUGUUCGAGCGUCAUUUCAACCCUCAAGCUCUGCUUGGUGUUGGGCCCUGCCCGCUGCGGCCGGCCCUAAAGACAGUGGCGGUGCCGCCUGGCCCUGAGCGUAGUACAUCUCUCGCUCCAGUGCCCGGUGGUAGCCUGCCAGAACCCCAACUCUCGUGGUUGACCUCGGAUCAGGUAGGGAUACCCGCUGAACUUAAGCAUAUCAAUAAAGCGGAGGA